This 522-nucleotide ribosomal RNA is filed under the name Eurynogaster paludis. RNAcentral's name for it is "partial 12S ribosomal RNA". Lineage: Eukaryota; Metazoa; Arthropoda; Insecta; Diptera; Dolichopodidae. The record is from RNAcentral.
GUGCCAGCAGCUGCGGUUAUACAAAAAAUACAAGUAAAUUUUAUUAAAUCAAGUUAAAUUGAUAAAUAUUUAAUAAUAAGAAAAUUUUUAGGUGAAAUUUUAAUUUUUUUAUUUUUAAAAUUAAAAAAAAUGUUGAGGCUAAGAAAUUUUGUUAAUAAACUAGGAUUAGAUACCCUAUUAUUAAAAAAUGUAUUUUAAAAAAAAAUUAGAGUAGUAAUAGUUAUGGUCUUGAAACUCAAAAAAUUUGGCGGUAUUUUAGUCUAUUCAGAGGAACCUGUGGUGUAAUCGAUAAUCCACGAUGAAUCUUACUUAUUUUUGUUUUUCAAUUUGUAUACCGCCGUUAUUUAAAAAUUUUUUGAAAAUAAUAAUUUUUAUAAUUUUUUAUUAAAUAGAAAGUCAGGUCAAGGUGCAGUUUAUAUUUAAGUAUUUCAUGGGUUACAAUAAAUUUAUUUAUAUGGAUUAAAUUAUGAAAUUAGUUUAUGAAAGUGGAUUUGGGAGUAAAUUUUAAAGAUAAAAAAUGAU